RNAcentral lists this ribosomal RNA (2743 nucleotides) under Triticum aestivum (bread wheat). RNAcentral's name for it is "partial small subunit ribosomal RNA". The record is from RNAcentral. Lineage: Eukaryota; Viridiplantae; Streptophyta; Magnoliopsida; Poales; Poaceae.
GCGGGCAGUACUGGUGGUGGUGGGUGCUGCCGGGGCCGCCGCGGAGGAGGAGGAGGAGGAGGCCGCCCCGCCGCCCGCGGAGGAGGAGGAGGAGGAGGAGGCGGCGGAAGAUGCGCGGGGGCGGGGCGGCGGAGGUGAAGAAGCACGCGCGGUGGCUGAGGUUCUGGUAGCGCUAUGUGCGCCGCCGCCUGCUGUGGCAGCGGCGGCACGAGCGGGUGGAGCGGCUGACGCCGAUGCCGGCGCUGGACGCGGAGGAGAUGCGGCCGGCGGUCGAGGUCGGCCUCCGGUGGCAGCGCAGCGAGCCGGAGCGCGGGCUGAGGUGGGAGGUCGAGCGGCGGGCGGAGGCGAGGUGGGGCGUGGGGUUCCGGACCGUCGAGCGGAGCGUGUAGCGGCGGUGGCGGCGGAGGCCCCUGCGGCCGUGCCUGAGGCGGGUGUGGGAGCUGCUAGAGCAGUUCCUCAUGUAGCGGACGACGCUGGGGCGGUCGGUCGUGUUGGCCUUGCUAGCGUCCCGGUUCCCCCUGUGGUCGUUGUGGCUGGCGGUGCGGCUCCUGAUGGAGCUGUAGAAGCAGGUCAGGCCGCGGCGGUAGCGCGACCAAGCGGAGAUGGAGAGGCUAAAGAGGAAGAGGGCGAGGAUGCGGCUCGCGCGGUAGUCCACGAAGGAGUCGUGGCUGGGACGGUGGAACGGCGGAUUACAGUACGAGCAGUGCCGCGGCCACGACGAGCUCAAGACGGCGGACGAGCGAAACUGGCGCCCGUUAUUCCUAAGCGAGAUGUUCAGUACGGCAAUGUGUGAACGUAGCCACGAGACGAACGGUGAGAGCCACGAGCCACGGAGGUUUAGCGGGUGGUUCCACUAGCUCGUCCAGGAGGGCAAACGGUCUCUCUAACAACUUGACCAGGACUUACCUGAACCUAGUCUCUGGUACGACCACGGUUCCUGUCUGGAACUCCUCGAGAGUUUGAAGAAAUUUCAGGACGCGGUCGUCCAUGAGGAAACCUACGGACUGCCCAGUUACGGUUUCUUAUACAUGUCGUCCCUCACAUUCGCUUGACUGUGUACCCAUACCCUCAACGUGCUUUACAGCUACUUGGACGAGUUUUCCCACCUACUCACAGAGUUCUCCAACCUUUACCUAGAAAGUAGAAACAGUAGACUGUGAUCCCCCCAGUAUCUUUUAGUUGGAUAGACCCAGUGGGCUAAUGUAUAGGAACGGUAUAACUGUCUUGACCUAAAGUAGAGUCCCUAUAAGCUCCUACACCGUGUGUUGGACGCCAAGCACAACGACCGUGUGUUUCGUGGAGAGUUACGCGAGCACGCGACAAGGUUCUCCUUGCUCGUAGAGGUGACCGAGUUCUUCGUAUUCCUAGACGAGACGAAGCUUCGUUCUUCCUUGAACCAGAAUUACAACAAAAGACUCCCCUUCCUACUGAUACCCCUCGACGUACUCUACAACUAGCUGGCCAGUGCAAAUGACCUACUCAGGAAACUCAUGUAGUGUGUCCGUUUCGGGUCACUCGAAGUGUCACCAGACAAAUACCUCAAAUUCUUACUCCUCCGAUGACCGGGACCACAAGAGUCCCUCACCAAGACGUACCACAGAGUUCGAGACAAGUCGGGUGUCGUUCAUGAGAAGAACGGAACAGGAUUACUAGUUGCCUCCAAGAUGAACUUACCUUGUAGACAACAACUAGGUGACGUGGACUUUAUGAAGCAAAAAAGCCCUGCUCAUUAACCUAAUCGUAACUACGUAUUUCACGUUCAUCCCUAUCAAAACCUGGCGUGGAAUAAAAACAUAGAACGACCCUCUUCAUAAUGUAACCUUCUGUAAAGACGACGUCUGGGAAAGUGCAUACGUUCGACAUUUUCUUAAGAUCUCUACCCACGACGGCUCUAACUACUAAAUUGAAAUUGUAAAAGGGCUCUACAAGUAUGGAAUCCCAGAGCUUUCUGAUAACUCGAAACGUUUCCUCCCGUCCUAUAGAGACACUUGUAGUCAUUGUCUCUCGUGAUGUAACUAGAAGAAUAAUUCUUAUAGAAACAACUGAGAUAAAGACUAGUCGAUCGAUUAAAGCGUUUUCCUAAACCGCUGUAUAAUCGAUUAGGCUUUGAGGCCCUCCAUAAAAAGCCCACAAACCUAGAUCUUCUGAAACUGGCUUACGAACCCCCUUCGUUGUUGUGAUAUUUAGACUUUCUAACCUCUAGUGUAUGAGUUAUAUUACCGAUGUUUCUUUUUCUAGCGGUACAAUUGACCAAGACCUUCCGGCACCUCUCGUACUGUCAGCUCGUUGUCUCCGUCGAGGAGAAGAAGACCUGGAGGCACUUUAUAAACGGGAGCCUUCCGAAACCACCCGACUCGAGUUUCGACAUGUAUAUGUUCUGUUGCCUCAGUCGGCUGGUAGAGGGCAGCAGCGUAUGUACGAAGAUGGCGGAGACGGAGGGGUGUAUGGGCAGGGAGUUCCACUACGUCUCGGUCGACGUCUUCUAGUGUGUCCUCGUACACUCGACGUCGAAGCCAUGCACCAUCCUACGAACCGACACCCUUUGGGUUUCACCAUGUAAAACAUGUAUAGCUCAAUCGUUGUUGGGAAUAGAUAGAGUAAAUUUUAGAUAACGAUCAUCUCGAAUUUUUAAUCCGACGGCACCAAACUAAACAUACAUACCUUUCAAUCGCAGGGGCCAGCAAAUUGGAAUUACAUCCACCUUAGUCUUCUCACGUUCCAAGUAAAAGAAGUGGGUAGGACA